AGAAGCAGUAUGCACAGGAGCGAUG
Molecule: unclassified non-coding RNA, 25 nt
Filed under: Mus musculus (house mouse)
Lineage: Eukaryota; Metazoa; Chordata; Mammalia; Rodentia; Muridae
Description: oocyte_clustered_small_RNA5757
Source: RNAcentral